Balaenoptera ricei (Rice's whale) is the source of this 977-nucleotide long non-coding RNA. RefSeq lists it as uncharacterized. The record is from RefSeq and is a predicted model, not a curated record. Lineage: Eukaryota; Metazoa; Chordata; Mammalia; Artiodactyla; Balaenopteridae. The transcript has 2 exons.
ACUGCGAAAAAAACGGAAAAAAGUUUUGUUUUUCCUGGCAGGGAUUUUACUUAAAGGGGAAACACUAGGGUUGCUCACCGCGCAGGUGGAUUGGGGAGAAGCCCUGAAAACAUUUCUUAUCGCUCAGCCAGAAUAGAUUCCGUCUUUCUCCACCAGGUAGAAACCUGAAGAGACGGCGGAGGGCAGGCGCGUCAGGUUCCUCCUGGCGUCGCGGAGGAAGCGGGCUCGGGGAGGGGUGACGAGAGCGCCCGGCGGGAGGCCGCUCCUGGGCCCGCGGAGCUGUGCCCGUCCUGGCUCAGUAGAAGGAGCAGCGGAGCCGGAGGCGGCGGGUUCCAUGGUGUAAUGGGGCUUCCGGGGCUUACCUGGUGGCGCAGUGGUUGGGAGUCUGCCUGCCAAUGCAGGGGACACGGGUUCGAGCCCUGGUCUGGGAGGAUCCCACAUGCCGUGCAGCGGCUAGGCCCGUGAGCCACGACUACUGAGCCUGCGCGUCUGGAGCCUGUGCUCCGCAAUGGGAGAGGCCAGCGCACCGCGAUGAAGAGUGGCCGCCGCUCGCCGGAACUGGAGAAAGCCCUCGCACAGAAACGAAGACCCAACACAGCCAAACAUAAUAAAUAAGUAAAUUUAUAAAUGUCACCUCUAGACAUUGAAAAACACAACGUAACAAAUGAACCUGUGUAUGUCUUUUGUGGAACAACCAUAUUGGAUAAGAACUCUCUGAAGAGACCAUAAAACACAAUAUAUACACCCCAGGACCGUGACAAAAUUUUAAAAACUGCUUUCCUCAAUUGUGUUAUUAUUGGCAUUGUUGGUAUUUCUUUAUUCUUUUGUCUAUAUAAUGCGGGAAGAAGCAAAGGAGACUGUAAAAGAUAUUGUAUUUCUAUUACUCCCAGUGUCCUUAAAGACAAAAAUACUGGUAUUAGAGAAAAGAGUUUCAGAUGAAAGACGUUCAAUAAAAAGCCUGUAGUUCUGAAUUUGAA